GACGAAGGAUGCAAGCGUUAUCCGGAUUCAUUGGGGUUAAAGGGAGCGUAGGUGGCCUUAUAAGUCAGUGGUGAAAUCCUGUUGCUUAACAACAGAAUUGCCAUUGAUACUGUAGGGCUUGAGUACAGAUGCCGUUGGCGGAAUAUGACAUGUAGUGGUGAAAUACAUAGAGAUGUCAUAGAACACCGAUUGCGAAGGCAGCUGACGAAACUGUAACUGACACUGAGGCUCGAAAGUGCGGGGAUCAAACAGG
RNAcentral lists this ribosomal RNA (253 nucleotides) under uncultured bacterium. Its description in RNAcentral is "partial 16S ribosomal RNA". It matches the Rfam family "Bacterial small subunit ribosomal RNA", at positions 524 to 776 of the family's 1533-position model. The record is from RNAcentral.